UGAACUGGGGUAGACAGUAGGAAGGCCU
Molecule: non-coding RNA, 28 nt
Filed under: Rattus norvegicus (Norway rat)
Lineage: Eukaryota; Metazoa; Chordata; Mammalia; Rodentia; Muridae
Source: RNAcentral